AUUGAACGCUAGCGGGAUGCCUUACACAUGCAAGUCGAACGGAGUGGCGAACGGGUGAGUAAUGUAUCGGAACGUGCCCAGUAGCUGGGGAUAACUACGCGAAAGCGUAGCUAAUACCGCCUACUAUUGGAGCAGCCGAUAUCGGAAUAGCUAGUUGGGGGGGUAACGGCUCACCAAGGCGACGAUCCGUAGCUGGUUUGAGUUGACGACCUGCCACACUGGGAAGGAGACACGGCCCAGACGCCUACGAGAGGCAGCAGUUGGGAAUUUUGGACAAUGGGCGAAGCCCUGAGCCAGCCAUCCCGCGUGUGCGAUGAAGGCCUUCGUGUUGUAAAGCGCUUUUAGCAGGAAAGCGGUACCUGCAGAAUAAGCACCGGCUAACUACGUGCCAGCAGCCGCGGUAAUAC
This 407-nucleotide ribosomal RNA is filed under the name uncultured bacterium. Its description in RNAcentral is "partial 16S ribosomal RNA". It matches the Rfam family "Bacterial small subunit ribosomal RNA", at positions 30 to 526 of the family's 1533-position model. The record is from RNAcentral.